GAGCAGGCGCGUGUGACGUCGGGAGGCGCCGCGGCUCCUCGGCCGCCCCACUCGGUGGUCCCCUGUCUGGAUCCAAACUGCUGACUGGCUGACCCGAGUGGUCACAUUUGCCCUCUGGGGCUUUUGAAAACCUUAAAUCAAAAUUGCUUUUGAAUCUGACAACUCCUGAGGCUACUUUCGCGGCCUCGGGGCUGUUUCAUAUAAGGACGCGAGUUUUCCUGAUCAGGUCUGUCGGCCACGUUACGAUUUCCAAUUUGCGAUCCAUCAGUUACUUCCAUUGGGUCUUCAGCCCCCAGGGACUGUGGAUCCUAGACCCCGCGGAGAAGCCCGUGGACUGGAGCUGUGUCAGCUCUGAUGGAACAAAAACGGAGGCACAGAGAGGUCAAUUGAUUGGUCUAAUGACACAGAUCUAGCAAGUGGUGGAACCAGGACUGAAUCCAGAGAAUCUGGAAGACUACUCUGCCAAGACAUCUCAAAAAGUGUGUGUCCGGAAUUGGUGGGUUCUUGGUCUCACUGACUUCAAGAAUGAAGCCGCGGACCCUUGCGGAACUGUGAAGACUAGAGUGACCUUGGAGAUCUCAUCUGGAAGAUGGUAGAACUGCUAUCAGCCUGGCUUCCCAAAUGACCUCCUGGAUCACAGCUACCCAUGGCCUGAAAUGUUGACCUUGGAGUUGUUGCAUAGGAAAGAAAUAAACUUCUUUGUUC
Molecule: long non-coding RNA, 705 nt
Filed under: Homo sapiens (human)
Lineage: Eukaryota; Metazoa; Chordata; Mammalia; Primates; Hominidae
Description: non-protein coding lnc-HDDC2-5:18
Source: RNAcentral